This 484-nucleotide ribosomal RNA is filed under the name uncultured bacterium. RNAcentral describes it as "partial 16S ribosomal RNA". It matches the Rfam family "Bacterial small subunit ribosomal RNA", at positions 30 to 507 of the family's 1533-position model. The record is from RNAcentral.
AUUGAACGCUGGCGGCAGGCCUAACACAUGCAAGUCGAGCGGAUGAAGGGAGCUUGCUCCUGGAUUCAGCGGCGGACGGGUGAGUAAUGCCUAGGAAUCUGCCUGGUAGUGGGGGAUAACGUCCGGAAACGGGCGCUUAUACCGCAUACGUCCUGAGGGAGAAAGUGGGGGAUCUUCGGACCUCACGCUAUCAGAUGAGCCUAGGUCGGAUUAGCUAGUUGGUGGGGUAAAGGCCUACCAAGGCGACGAUCCGUAACUGGUCUGAGAGGAUGAUCAGUCACACUGGAACAGAGACACGGUCCAGACUCCUACGGGAGGCAGCAGUGGGGAAUAUUGGACAAUGGGCGAAAGCCUGAUCCAGCCAUGCCGCGUGUGUGAAGAAGGUCUUCGGAUUGUAAAGCACUUUAAGUUGGGAGGAAGGGCAGUAAGUUAAUACCUUGCUGUUUUGACGUUACCAACAGAAUAAGCACCGGCUAACUUCGUG